Molecule: ribosomal RNA, 464 nt
Filed under: Vreelandella stevensii
Lineage: Bacteria; Pseudomonadati; Pseudomonadota; Gammaproteobacteria; Oceanospirillales; Halomonadaceae
Description: partial 16S ribosomal RNA
Rfam family: Bacterial small subunit ribosomal RNA
Source: RNAcentral
CCUACGGGGGGCAGCAGUGGGGAAUAUUGGACAAUGGGCGAAAGCCUGAUCCAGCCAUGCCGCGUGUGUGAAGAAGGCCUUCGGGUUGUAAAGCACUUUCAGUGGGGAAGAAAGCCUUGGGGCUAAUACCCUCGAGGAAGGACAUCACCCACAGAAGAAGCACCGGCUAACUCCGUGCCAGCAGCCGCGGUAAUACGGAGGGUGCGAGCGUUAAUCGGAAUUACUGGGCGUAAAGCGCGCGUAGGCGGUCUGAUAAGCCGGUUGUGAAAGCCCCGGGCUCAACCUGGGAACGGCAUCCGGAACUGUCAGGCUAGGGUGCAGGAGAGGAAGGUAGAAUUCCCGGUGUAGCGGUGAAAUGCGUAGAGAUCGGGAGGAAUACCAGUGGCGAAGGCGGCCUUCUGGACUGACACUGACGCUGAGGUGCGAAAGCGUGGGUAGCAAACAGGAUUAAUACCCCAGUAGUC